This 18-nucleotide small nuclear RNA is filed under the name Arabidopsis thaliana (thale cress). RNAcentral's name for it is "snRNA_12988". Lineage: Eukaryota; Viridiplantae; Streptophyta; Magnoliopsida; Brassicales; Brassicaceae. The record is from RNAcentral.
CCUAACGGCGUGCCUCGG